AGACAAGUCUCAGAGAAUUUUCACAGAAGAGGAAUAUUAUUAACACGAGAAUCAUGUGAAAGUCAACAUACAAACUGGAAGACUGCUGAAUGCUCACAGCGCCUUGCCCACAGGUUCAUUAUACCCUCCUUUAUAGAGAGGUGAUACAGCUCUGCUCAAAAGUUCCUGGAAAGCUUAACAAUAACUUAAGCAACUGAGUUCCUCGAGAUCAAGGAGUAGGAAG
RNAcentral lists this long non-coding RNA (223 nucleotides) under Bos taurus (domestic cattle). Its description in RNAcentral is "long non-coding RNA NONBTAT008069". Lineage: Eukaryota; Metazoa; Chordata; Mammalia; Artiodactyla; Bovidae. The record is from RNAcentral.